Molecule: ribosomal RNA, 241 nt
Filed under: uncultured bacterium
Lineage: Bacteria
Description: partial 16S ribosomal RNA
Rfam family: Bacterial small subunit ribosomal RNA
Source: RNAcentral
UGAUCAUGGCUCAGGAUGAACGCUAGCUACAGGCUUAACACAUGCAAGUCGAGGGGCAUCAGUUUGGUUUGCUUGCAAACCAAGCUGGCGACCGGCGCACGGGUGAGUAACACGUAUCCAACCUGCCUCAUACUCGGGGAUAGCCUUUCGAAAGAAAGAUUAAUAUCCGAUAGCAUAUAUUUCCCGCAUGGGUUUUAUAUUAAAGAAAUUCGGUAUGAGAUGGGAUGNGUUCCAUUAGUUG